GACGAACGCUGGCGGCGUGCUUAACACAUGCAAGUCGAACGAGGCCCCUCCUUCGGGAGGGUGUCCUAGUGGCGAACGGGUGAGUAACACGUGGGCAACCUGCCCCCGGCUCUGGGAUAACCCCAAGAAAUUGGGGCUAAUACCGGAUAUGACCGCUGACCGCAUGGUCGGUGGUGGAAAGUUUUUUCGGCUGGGAUGGGCCCGCGGCCGAUCAGCUUGUUGGUGGGGUAGUGGCCUACCAAGGCGCCGACGGGUAGCCGGCCUGAGAGGGUGACCGGCCACACUGGGACUGAGACACGGACCAGACUCCUACGGGAGGCAGCAGUGGGGAAUAUUGCGCAAUGGGCGGAAGCCUGACGCAGCGACGCCGCGUGGGGGAUGACGGCCUUGGGGUUGUAAACCUCUUUCAGCAGGGACGAAGCGAAAGUGACGGUACCUGCAGAAGAAGCACCGGCCAACUACGUGCCAGCCGCCGCGGUAA
RNAcentral lists this ribosomal RNA (481 nucleotides) under uncultured bacterium. RNAcentral describes it as "partial 16S ribosomal RNA". It matches the Rfam family "Bacterial small subunit ribosomal RNA", at positions 28 to 523 of the family's 1533-position model. The record is from RNAcentral.